GCUCCAUCAAAUUUCUCAGGCAAAGCCACUGGGUACUUGCCCGGAGCCGGGCGUCGGCCCCAGGAGCCGGUAGGGCUUCCAAGCGUUGCUGAAGUGCCACAACCGCGUCGCUGAGCUGCUGCACGGUGUGAUUCAAGGCCUGGUUCUCCUGGGCCAAAGCCACCAGUGCAGCCGCCUGUUCAGCCAUGGCCUCUGGCUCUUCCCGAACGCACCCCUACGAAGGGGAAGUGCGGGUGUGGCGGGAGCAAACUGUGCUGGUCCCGGGGUAAGGUACCUUGGGUGUAGCAGAGUCCACACGAAGAGGGGCAAGGUCCGAGGCAGAGAGCCGGGCGGGGAACAGGAAUGCUGGAACAGGAGGCUGUGCAGGGAACAGGAACACCGGAUGGUCGGGAACAGGAGGCCGAGCAGGGAACAGGAGUACCGGAUAGUCAGGAACAGGAAGCCGAGCAGGGAACAGGAGUACCGGAUAGUCAGGAACAGGAAGCCGAGCAGGGAACAGGAGCACAGGAAGGUCCGAGCCAACAACGACGUUGCUCCCGCAACCUGGGGCCGGGCUGACUGGGCUUUAUCCUCUUCUAAGGCCAGGGCGGUCCCGGUCCCCAGGAGCCCCGCCUCCUCUGGCCUUAAGGCGAGCACUCCUCCUGGGGCAACCAGUUCCCUUCGCCUCUCUGCCCUAAGCCUCUGCAGAUCAGGAGAGGCCGAAGGGUUACUGGGCCCUGGAGGAGGCUCACCUGUGGCCACUGAGUCAUCAAGCCCCUCUGGGGCCAGAAGGGCUUCACCUGGGGCCAGCUCCUGAUGCACUGCCACAGGUGCAGGCUCUUCAGCAUCUAGGCCUUGCCCCAGUUCAGCCGGCCCUGGAGGCGGGGACUCCUGUGCAGGCUGGGAUUCCUCUGUUUCAUCCUCCGAAUCGGAAUCCCAGGCCAUCACACACGCAGAGAUUCCAGAAGACGUGUUUCCGUUAAGGAGCUUUUAUGUUGGAAGCGAUUACGAAAGCAACCACUGUCGGAAUCUGCUAGUGACUAGAGUAGCCAUGUCUGAGGGGCUCUGUCACAGACAGAGGUUUGUGGACUUGAACAAACUCUGAGGGGAUACGAUUUUACGCACAAGCAGCUCAUCAUCCCAUCACAGCAUUCCGACAGUCUUUGAAAGCAGCUUGUGCAGGAGAAGGUAUCAUGAGCAACCCAGCCGGAACCGGAGAAGCAGGAGCUGGAGCGGGUCCAAGCCUGGAAGAAAGGUACCAGAUGUUGGAGGUCCAGCUAGCGAUGCAGACGGCGAGGCUUGAGGAGAGGAGGGCUCAGGAUGCAGACAAAGGGGCACGCCACCCAGUUCGCCAGAAAGGGACCACGAUUGGUGCAGAAGUUUGGGGGGGAGCCCAACAACUAUCAUGGUUUUCGGACAGAAAUGCAAUAUGCCCUCAAUCUGCAGUUUGAUGAAUUCCCUGACGAGGAAUCACGAGUGGCUUUCGUGAUUGAGCAUCUUGAAAAGGGGGCGAGAGACUGGGUUAGACCCCUGAUGGCAGCGAAUAGUGACGUCUUAAAAGACACGAUGAAGUUCUUUCGCGCCAUGGAUCUGAUGUUUUCCAGCGAUAUUGAAAAGGGAGUGGUGCGCAGACAGUUAAUGGGUUGCAAACAGGGGAGCCGAUCUGUCCGUGAGUACUGGACUGAGUUCACCAUGCUUGUUCACAGAUUGGGGUGGGACUUAUCGGCGGAACCCAUUCAAAUGCUCUUUGAAGAAGGGCUUUCUUCGGCUGUGAAAGACGAACUUUCCCGGGCGCCCAGGGCGGAGUCUAUGGACCAGCUGACCAAAUCAGCGCUGGCCAUAGGAGCGCGCCAGGAGGCGAGAGCAUUGGAGAGGCGGGAAGGGAAGGGGAACGUUGGAAGGAGUUCCGCAUUCCAGACAUUCCAGAGCCAACUUUCCCACCGGCAGAGCCGAUGGAAAUCGGAACAGCGCGCGCGCGCAGUUUCAAAGCCCAGAAAUGCUAUCUCUGCCAACAGCCAGGUCACUUUGCCAGAGUCUGCCCCCAGAGGAAAGAAUGGCAAGGGAUGGUAGGGGCUGUGGAUGGAAGAGAGGAAAAUAUACCGGAGCAAGUAAAGCCAACGCCUGGCUGCCACUGUCAGGGCACAGCAGCCAGGCCAAAGAGCAGUGAGAGUGCCCACGCCAGAACCUCCUAAACCCGCCCUAGUGAUAGAAGUGACGCUAGAGCUGCCAAACGGACACCCUCUAAAGAUAAAGGCGCUGUUGGACUCAGGCAGCUCCUGCAAUUUCAUGAGCAAAGAGUUUGCAGCUGAACACCAGAUACAGACAAUCCCUUUAAGCAGCCCCCUGCAGGUGACCACGAUCGAUGGCAGGGAGCUGUUGGGUGGAGAAGUCAGCUUGCAGACCGUCCCAAUGAUAAUGAAGGUAGCAAGGCACACCGAACUGAUAGCUUUUAAUGUGGCCACCUUGGGAGGAGCUCCCAUUAUAUUGGGGAUGAGCUGGCUAGCGUUACAUGAUCCGCUGGUGGGCUGGCAUCAGAGAGUGGUUUCUUUUGGUUCAGCACAUUGCUUAGAACACUGCAAAGAGGGAAAGGGUUUGGCAGGGGUCCAAGCCACCCUAGCAGGGACUGAAGUAACAGAGAACGUGAAGGUACCACGACAAUAUGCAGAUCUCCGUGACGUCUUCAGCGAAAGGGAAGCUGACCAACUACCCCGCAUAGACCCUUUGACUGUCAAAUCAACUUACUCCCUGGAGCACAGCUCCCUGUAGGCAAGCUGUACGCCAUGUCAGACAGAGAGAUGCAGGAGUUAAGAGAGUUCAUUGACAAGAACCUGAAGAGAGGGUUCAUCAGAGAGUCCAGGGCGGUGGGGGGCAGCCCAGUGUUUUUGUGGAUAAGAAAAACACGAACAAGCCGAGGCUGGUGUGUGACUUCAGGGCCUUAAAUGCAGUGUCAGAACCAGUAGCCUUCCCUAUGCCCAGGAUUGACGACAUUUUGACAAGGGUGCGGAAGGGAAAGAUUUUUACAAAGCUGGACCUAAGGGGGGCGUACAACCUGGUACGAAUAAGGAAGGGGGAUGAAUGGAAAACCACUAUGUUCACCCCUUUAGGGGCAUUUGAAUAUUUGGUUAUGCCCUUCGGCCUACAAGCAGGCUCCGCAACAUUUCAAUCGUUUAUGAACCACGUCCUGGGGCCUUUGCUUUACAAGAAUUGUGUGGCCUUUUUAGACGACGUGUUGGUGUAUUCUGAGAAUGAGGAGCAGCAUGUGAGAGACGUCAGAGAAGUGUUGAGCAGGCUGCAAGCCAACCAGCUGUGGGUGAAACUGGAGAAGUGUCAGUUUCAUACCAAGGAGGUGGAAUUCCUGGGGUAUCGCCUGUCAGACAAGGGAUUGGCCAUGGAUCCCGGCAAGGUCCAGGCUGUGCUGGAAUGGAAAACACCCAAAACAAAGAAGGAUGUGCAGAGGUUCCUAGGAUUUGGGAACUUCUAUCGUAAGUUCAUCCGAAACUUUGCCCACCUGACGGCGCCCAUUACGGACUGUCUCAGCAGUAAGAAGAAGUUCGUGUGGACUGAGGAGGCGGAGCGAGCAUUUGAGGAACUAAAAAGGGCCUUCGCCUCGGAACAACAACUCCUGCAUGUGGAUUUACAAAAACCGAUGAGAGUGGAAACUGACGCAUCAGACAGAGCGAUUGGGGCGGUGCUUCUGCAGCCAGGCAAGAAGGGGUCAGAGUGGAGACCGUGUGCCUUUUUUCGCGAAAGCUGAACAAAUCCGAGAGGAACUACACGGUGUAUGACCGAGAACUACUAGCCAUUCAUGAGGCGUUCCGGAGAUGGAGGCACCUGCUAAUUGGCGCACAACAUAAGGUGCAAGUGUGCACUGACCACAAGAACCUAGAGUAUUGGAGGACGGCACGAGUGCUCAACCAACGGCAAGUGAGAUGGGCCCAGGAGUUCUCCAAAUUUAACUUUGAGAUUAGUUACGUGCCAGGCCCAGAGAACAUUAGGGCGGACGCUCUCUCACGCAAACCUGAAUAUUUGGAAGGGGAGGGGGCACCCGAAGAGAGACAUGUCAUUCCAGAAGACCGCUGGGUGUGUGGGGCGGCAUUGGUGGGACAAAGAGAACUGGUAGAGGAAACAGAGAAUGAUGAAUACGCCCAGAAUAAGCUCAGAGGUCUUAGGGGUGAUGGAGAGGAACCAGGGGUUUCGAGGAAAGAAAUGGAGCUUUGUAUUACAAAGGGGCACUGUAUAUCCCUGAAGGAGAGUUAAGGGGAGGGUACUCAAGCAGUUGCACGACAGCCCUACGGCGGGGCAUUUUGGACAACACAAAACCAUGUGGUUGGUCACCAGGGAAUUUUGGUGGCCUAAGGUGAGGGAAGAUGUACGUGAGUAUGUAAGAGGGUGCGAGCAAUGCCAGCGAGCCAAAGGGGAAAGGCGGGCGCCGGCGGGGCUAUUAGAACCCUUACCAACCCCAGAACGACCUUGGGAGGCAGUGUCGAUAGAUUUUAUGACUGAUCUGCCGAAGUCCAAAGGGAAAACAGCCAUCAUGGUGGUGGUAGACCUACUAACAAAGAUGUGCCACUUUGUAGCUUGCUCGCAUGCAGUCACGGCGGAAGAGACAGCGAAGUUAUUUGUAGAAAACAUUUUUAGGUUGCACGGGGUGCCAUUGAGGGUGGUCUCAGACCGAGGAAAACAAUUUACUUCCAGGUUCUGGAGGAAGCUCAUGAGCUUACUGCAGGUGGAGGUCAAUUUUUCGACUGCCCGGCACCCUGAAACCAACGGGCAGGCGGAAAGAGCAAACGGUGUCCUCCAGCAAUACCUGAGGUGUUAUGUCAAUGACAGAGAGAAUGACUGGGUAGAAAAGUUGGCGCUGGCGGAAUUUGCCUACAACAAUGCCGAGAAUGUGUCCACAGGGAUGAGCCCUUCUUGGCUAAUUAUGGGUGUCAUCCCAGGGCUUUCCCAGGGGAGAGGGGAGAGAUGGAGCGUCCCGGCAGCCGAGCAUUUUGUGGAAGAAAUGGAAGCAAUCCAUCGUCAGCUCCAACUCAACUUAGAAAGGGCGAAGGAAGAAUACAAGAGGCAGGCAGACAAGAACCGAAGGGAAGGUGAAACCAUAAGGGUGGGAGAUAGGGUGUGGCUGUCAACCCAAGGGAUGCCGUUCAAAGGAGGUUGUAAGAAAUUAAGACCCAGGAGGUUGGGUCCCUUUGAGGUCAUUCAACAGGUCAACCCAGUGGCUUUCAGGCUCCGGUUACCCAACCACAUGAAACUGCACCCAGUAUUUCACAGGUCGUUACUGUCACCGUACGAAGGGGGACGAGAAGGGCUGGCCACUCGGGAACCGGUCGUAGAAGAAAGAGAAUGCAGCAGCCAUGUGGCAGAAAUCCUCGACGCCAGGUGGAAGGGGGAUCAGGUGGAGUAUUUGGUAGCGUGGGAAGGAGAACCGGAGUCAGAAAACACUUGGGUAAUGGCUGAAGAUAUCAAUGACGAGGUAUUGAUAGAAACGUUCCAUCAAAGGUUCCCAAGGAAACCUCAGCCUGUGGAGAGGUUCCGGAGGGAAUACUUUGGGACCACUGAUGAAGGGGAGGAGUUGGAAGGAUUCCCGGACUCGGAAGGGGAAGGGGAGAUGGACUCUGAGGAGGAGGUGUACUCGAGACCAGGAACCGCAACAGGUUGAGAGAAGUGUUCGAGACAUCGGAAGAUGAAGGAAGUUCAUUCCGGGUUUUGCCUCCUCACCGCCCGUAGAGGAGGGGGCGAGAGGGGGUGAAGGGGGCCCUGGAGGGGAGGUGGAUGUCAGGGAACUGCCAUCGGACGGAAGGGAGGUGAAAGGGCUCACACAGGUUGGGAGAGACGCAGCAGCUGAAGAGGAAACCAACAGGGAGGUGAAAGGGCUCACACAGGUUGGGAGAGACGCAGCAGCUGAUGAGGGAACCAGCAGGGGNNNNNNNNNNNNNNNNNNNNNNNNNNNNNNNNNNNNNNNNNNNNNNNNNNNNNNNNNNNNNNNNNNNNNNNNNNNNNNNNNNNNNNNNNNNNNNNNNNNNCCACUGUCGGAAUCUGCUAGUGACUAGAGUAGCCAUGUCUGAGGGGCUCUGUCACAGACAGAGGUUUGUGGACUUGAACAAACUCUGAGGGGAUACGAUUUUACGCACAAGCAGCUCAUCAUCCCAUCACAGGUGCGUAUUAGGAGCAUUGCACUAAAAUGAUGUUGAAUUUUACGAGGACUGUAAAAAAGAAGAAGCCAAGUCAUAGCAACGGCAUGAUUUGAAAAAUAAGGAGACAUGACAAACCAAAAUGCACAGAAUCAUCCACCUCUAGCUCCAAUUGUAAUAAAAUGAUUAUUACAGACCCUGAGAUCGGCAUCUGAGACCCUUCUUCGUGUGCCUUCUCCACAAGAGGUCUGGAGCCUAGCAACAUGAGAACGGGCCUUUUCUUUUCUUUUUUCAAAAAGUACCUAUACAUGCAUUAAGCAUUGUGAGACAUAAAUAAAAGAGAGAAAGAGAGAAGCAGGGCCUUUUCUGGGGUGGCUCCCCAUUUGUGGAAUGCUUGCCCCAGGGAGGCUCGCCUGACACCUUCAUUACAGAUCUUUAGGUGCCAGGCAAAAACAUUCCUCUUCUCCCAGGCCAUUGGCUAAUUAAACAAUCUAUGGCCGUUUAACUGUGUGUGUGUGAUUGCUUGUUACUGUGGUAUGUAUUUUUGUGUUUUUAUAUUGUAAACUGCCUUGUGACCCUCUGAUGGAGAGCGGCUUAUAAAUUUAAUAAAUGAAUGAAUAAAUGAUGCUGGGAUUGUAUGCACACUCACUUGGGAUUUUUUCUCUUGAGCUUAGUAAAGCAUACUUUUGAGCAUUUCUGAUUGGGCUAAAUGUUUUGCUCCUUUGAAACUGCUUCUUCCCACGUUUGUUUUAAAUGCUGAUUUCUCAGCCUCAUCUAAGCGGCAGUUAUUUAUUUUUUUCCCCUGUAACAUUUUUACAAAUCCAUUUCAUUUGUUGAGGCAUUAUGGGGAG
RNAcentral lists this long non-coding RNA (6961 nucleotides) under Podarcis lilfordi (Lilford's wall lizard). Lineage: Eukaryota; Metazoa; Chordata; Lepidosauria; Squamata; Lacertidae. The record is from RNAcentral.